This 563-nucleotide small RNA is filed under the name Pan troglodytes (chimpanzee). RNAcentral describes it as "retained intron". Lineage: Eukaryota; Metazoa; Chordata; Mammalia; Primates; Hominidae. The record is from RNAcentral.
UGUGACUUGGAAAUUAUGGAAAUCAAGCAACUUCAACAGGAACUUCAGGAAUAUCAGAAUAAGCUUAUCUAUCUGGUACCUGAGAAGCAAUUAUUAAAUGAAAGAAUUAAAAACAUACAGUUCAGUAACACACCUGGUAAGUCUCUAAGGUUUGUCUGAUUACUUUUAUCCUUUUCUGAAUGACUGUAUCAGUCACAUUGUUACUUUUUUAAAAUUAAAAAAAGUAUUCUGUUAUAAAUAACACUUUUUGCCUGUAAGUUUAAAGUUUCAAAAUAAAGUGAAAAAUAUCCCAGAUGUUAGAGCAUUUUUAGUGAUAAAAAGUAGAUAAAAAUAAAAUAGUAAUGAUUGUGGUGUGACUUCAUAUCUUGAUGAUAUUUUUAUGUAUAUAAUUGAAACAUCAAAUAAAGUGUUAGACUAUAAGAUAUAAAUUUGGCUCUAACACAAGACUACAUGUGCAUUUUGAAAAGUCCUGCACUGAUUUUAAAGAACUGUUCAGGAGGAGGCUUUAUGGUGGGGCCGCACCCGGGAUUCUAGGGUGUUAGCGUGCAGCAGUCAUAGGCUUA